RNAcentral lists this non-coding RNA (23 nucleotides) under Cricetulus griseus (Chinese hamster). Lineage: Eukaryota; Metazoa; Chordata; Mammalia; Rodentia; Cricetidae. The record is from RNAcentral.
AAAUGUAGAGCUCUAAGUCAUUG